Araneus ventricosus is the source of this 1253-nucleotide non-coding RNA. Lineage: Eukaryota; Metazoa; Arthropoda; Arachnida; Araneae; Araneidae. The record is from the annotation of a GenBank genome assembly.
CUUACCAAAAGUGGUCUACUGGGCACUCUUAUCCAAUCGUACGGCCUUCAGUCAUGCAAGGCGGACUUCACCCAUUUAAAGUUUGAGAACAGGUUGAGGUCGCUUCGGCCCCAAGGCGAAUAAUUCGCUUUACCGGAUGAGACUGAGUUUUCCGAGCGCCAGCUAUCCUGAGGGAAACUUUGGAGGGAACCAGCUACUAGAUGGUUUGAUUAGUCUUUCGCCCCUAUACCCGGAUCUGACUAUAUAUUUGCACGUCAGAACAGCUGCGGACCUCCAUCAAAGUUUCCUCUGGCCUCGUCCUGUCCGGGCAUAGUUCACUAUCUUUCGAGUCCCAACAUGUAUGCUCAAACUCUACCCCACCAAUAAAUUAGAAAGGACGGGUUGUUUGUGAGACACUCGUGCAUAGGGAUCCCAACACAAUCGGCGUCUAGUCUGACCUUUGCUUUCAUUGCGCCUCUAAGCUUAUUCGAGACACAUUGAUAAACAGACAUGUUAGACUCCUUGGUCCGUGUUUCAAGACGGGUCGGGUGGGUGACAGAUCUCCUCCCCGCUAACCGCCAACUUCCGACUGGUACAUAGCAGCCAAAGAGGAAGCUGUCUUUCGCUGGGUCACGGAGUCAGCCCGUGCGCCCGCAAAAGUGCUCACCCCUGCCACUGUAUCCAGGAGUCCGCGAACGGAGGAGGCGAAGAAGCCUAAAUAGGCCACUCGACACCACGGUCACGCUACGAGUCGUGCGACACGCUGGAUAACAGGCAACGAUCCAAAUGAAUGAACCACCGGCCAACUGCUGUUGCGCGCCCUUAAGGCCGUCUCGCAACCGGUUGCGGGGUCCUUCGGACGGGAAACAAAUACGUUCCAUGAAGCGAAACCUCCUCUAAUGAAAGGCCGCCUCCGCGGAACCAUAAUGAAUCUCAAACAAGGAGUCCACGCCAAAACACUGAAUCCUCCCGACACAGGAUUUCGAGGGCCCACCCGUUUGCCUCUGAGCAGUGUCACGUACUCUAUCUUUAAAGUUCUUUGCAACUUUCCCUCACGGUACUUGUUUGCUGUCGGUCCCACGGCCGUAUUUAGCCUUAGGUGGAGUUUACCACUCGAUUAGGGCUGCAUUCCCAAGCAACCUGACACAAAGGAGAUCGCAUUCGACGAAGGCCUAGAAGCUAUGGGCCUCGCACCCACUCUGGGUUUCAGCCCCGGUCAGGGGGACUUGCUGCAGAGUCAACCGCCGGCACUCUCACUCCUAAACGCCACAUUU